This 484-nucleotide ribosomal RNA is filed under the name uncultured bacterium. RNAcentral's name for it is "bacterial SSU rRNA". It matches the Rfam family "Bacterial small subunit ribosomal RNA", at positions 1 to 478 of the family's 1533-position model. The record is from RNAcentral.
AAUUCGCCCUUAGAGUUUGAUCCUGGCUCAGAUUGAACGCUGGCGGCAUGCCUUACACAUGCAAGUCGAACGGUAACGCGGGGCAACCUGGCGACGAGUGGCGAACGGGUGAGUAAUAUAUCGGAACGUGCCCAGUCGUGGGGGAUAACUGCUCGAAAGAGCAGCUAAUACCGCAUACGACCUGAGGGUGAAAGCGGGGGAUCUUCGGACCUCGCGCGAUUGGAGCGGCCGAUAUCAGAUUAGGUAGUUGGUGGGGUAAAGGCCUACCAAGCCGACGAUCUGUAGCUGGUCUGAGAGGACGACCAGCCACACUGGGACUGAGACACGGCCCAGACUCCUACGGGAGGCAGCAGUGGGGAAUUUUGGACAAUGGGGGCAACCCUGAUCCAGCCAUGCCGCGUGCGGGAAGAAGGCCUUCGGGUUGUAAACCGCUUUUGUCAGGGAAGAAAUCCUUUGGGCUAAUAACUCGGAGGGAUGACGGUAC